This is a long non-coding RNA of Dreissena polymorpha, 3023 nucleotides long. RefSeq lists it as uncharacterized. The record is from RefSeq and is a predicted model, not a curated record. Lineage: Eukaryota; Metazoa; Mollusca; Bivalvia; Myida; Dreissenidae. The transcript has 3 exons.
UCGAGUUCGCUUAGAGGCUUUGCCUUACAAAAAUUUCACAUUAAAAUCAAUAUCUAUUACGAAAUAUGAUAUAAGAAAUGGAUUUAAACCACUUAUGUGUGUCGUUAAGUUUCUUUGUUUGUCAUUGUGCGUCAUUUUACGCCGUAGGACGUUUAGUUUGACAAUGUUCAGAGUAUUGUAUAACCUCAUAAUAAAAAUUCCUACUUCCGAUUUUAAAACCGAAAGUGAGCGAUGAAAUCCAUGAUUAAAUUUGGAAAACUAGGCUUUACUACACCAUGGCAGAGGGGAACAACAAAACCAAUGAUCCUCCGGUUGUUGGCGAUGAUGAAGGAAUUGAUCCACAAACACUGGAGAUUGCUCGCAUUUUACGGCCACUACAUUACGAGAUUACAGAAGAAAAAACAUAUCCAGAUGAAGAAGAAGAAGUUAAGAAUAUUCGCGUCAUGAUUGUUGGCAUGUUAAAUGUGUGAAACACUUCUCUUGUAAAAAAUCUGAUAACCGACUUUAGAGAUGGAAGCAUCCCACCUUUACGUUCCGGUGGUAUUGAUCUUCACAAGUGCCAAUUGAUGGCAAAUGGUGAUUGGUGUUUAGAUAACGAACACAAAUCACAAAAAUAUAUAAGUGUUUUCCGCGAAAUGAAUACUGUUGCAUACACUACUUCUGUCGAUGACACUGAUAGCCUAGACGGCUCGCCUGUAGAAGGCAACCUAGAUGCUGAUCAAACUAUUUAUCAAAGACAUACUGAACCAAUACAGGGUAGGAACAAUGAUGAACACCAUAAAAAAAUGAUUUUGUACCAAUGUGUUCAACUUUAGAAGGUAAUAUGCAGAAUGACACCAACAUUAAACCUUCAAUGGACACCAAAAUUUCUUUAGAAAAGACAGAAAAAGAGAUCACUGUGUCUGUUUGGGAUUAUGCAGGCCAGAAACUUUAUUAUUCUACACAUCAAUUCUUCUUGACACAAAGGUUUGGAUGAAAAUGUUAAAGAGUUGGAUGGAUGUGGAAUUUGGUGUGGUUUGGUUAAUGAGUGUACGUAUUUGGAUGUAUUUAAGUUUUGGCUGAAUGCAAUCCACAUGUAUAGUGGUUAUAAGUCAGCAACAGGGAGAAUAAAACCAACUGUCAUUUUAGUUGGAACUCGAAAAGACGAAAUGGAGGGGAAUGAUCAAGACAAAGAAAAUACAAAGGAUAGAUAUUUUAAUAAAGCACUAUUGUCCUUUGAAAGAGAUUCACCAGUAUUAAAUCAUAUUCAUGAGAAGAUAUUCUAAGUGAACAAUUUAUCACCAACUGAUCCGGUUUUUGCUGAAUUGAGAGACGAAAUCAAACGUUUGUCUGAGAAUCAAGAUUACUGGGGUAAAGAUAAGUAUCCAGUUCGAUGGAUUCAUAUGGAGCAGUCUCUUGACAAAAUAAGAGAUGAAGGCAAGCAAUUAGUACACAUGGAUAAGAUUGAAGAAGUAAAUCUAUCCAAAAAACACCCACUUUCUAAAGACGAACUAUCAGUGUUUCUGGAAUUACAGCACAUACAAGGCAAUAUUCUUUUUUUCAACACCCCUUAACUUAAACAUUUGGUUGUUCUUGCUCCCCAAUGGAUCAUUGAAGCCUUCAGAUGUUUUGUACAAGAUAUCAGUAGAAGAAAACCAACAUUUCUUAAAGAUUGGGAAGACUAUGAGAAGCUUGCAAUUCUCAAACCACAAAUUAUAGAUGAAAUUAUGAACAAUAGUCCUUGUGACAUAAAGGACUAAAAAGACGAUGUAAUUAAGUAUAUGGAACACCUAAAUGUUAUGGCAGAGCCAAAGGCAACAGAACUAAACAAAUCUGGACACGAUGAAACGGAUGCCAUUUUAGAUAACAAUGUCGAAUUGCUUGAUUUUCACAUUGUUCCUUGUCGACUGAAAAAUGCACCCCCUCCCAUAGAGAAAUUCACUUCACCCGAUUGCGAACGAUUCAAACGAACCCCAAUUUUAGCGUUUGUUUUUUUGCGAAAAGUUUAUGCCUCCAUCUUUCUUCCAUAGGCUUGUUGCUGUAUGCAUCGGCGCUUGGCCAAUCAAAAAAGAAGGGGACAAAGAUCGCCUGUAUAACGGAUUGGCUAUUUUUGCCAUUCGCCCAACAUACACUUUAACCAUCUGGUAUAAAGACUACAUCAUUUAUGCAAGGAUAGCGUGUUAUUCAAAGAAGCUUACAUCUGAUAUUGACACCAAUCUUUGUCAAGAAGUUCGACACAAGCUUUGUUCGAGUUUGCAAGAUUUUGUAGGCCAUUCUGUAGAAACACCACGAACUGGUACAGCAUUUGAUAUGUAUAUUCAAUGUCCAUCCAUGAAAAUAUGUUUGCACAAUAAAGGAAUGCUGAGAGUGGCACAGUUCAAUUACGAGAGUGAAUUAGACUGCGAUGCAUGUAGUGAAAGGCAUCCAGUUGAAAGAUCAAGAUCAGAGGCUUUGCAAUAUUGGUUCAAAAAAGAACUGGAUUUAGCUGACAAAUGUGAUAGCGAUGAUUUAAACCAUCAAGCUGAAGACAAACAUCUAUCAAAAGCUGCCAGAAUUAUUGGUUAAGAAUGUUGCAUGCUUGGCAUUGAACUUAAGUUAAGCAAUGUGGAGUUGAACCAGAUGUAUGCUGACCCUGCUUGUAAUAACAAUAGGUAUGACUUUGUUUUCAAGUACCUUGUUAAAUGGAGGAACAGAAAAGGAGAGAAGGCAACGCUUCGAAAACUUAAUAGGGCUAUAAACGCUGCACGUUUGUAUUCCAACGUGGAAUCUACGCCGGUCUUUUAGAGAGUACUUACGUAAUUGAUUCUCUCAGAAUUGAGCUCCUUGACUUUUUAAAUCAACAACUCAAUUAUGACCAAAAUGUCAUAAUUAAAAAUUUAAGUGUGUUAAAAAGUAUAACCAGCUAUGGUAUACACAAUUGUAUUUUGUUCAUUUUGUUCGCUGAAUCAUUGAAUCAAUAAACAAAUGGAAUAAGGUGUCCAUGUGUAUCCCUCCUCGAAGAAAGCUUCAUUUAACACACACUUUGUCCUUCUCUACAAGUGUCU